Fukomys damarensis (Damara mole-rat) is the source of this 254-nucleotide long non-coding RNA. RefSeq lists it as uncharacterized. NCBI's taxonomy places the organism in Eukaryota, Metazoa, Chordata, Mammalia, Rodentia, Bathyergidae. The transcript has 3 exons. The record is from RefSeq and is a predicted model, not a curated record.
AUACUGUGUCAUCCCUAUACCUUUCUCAGAUAAUACUGACCAUGGAGGCCCCGCUGUUUGCCACCCCAGAGCAUUCUGAAGACUAGAAGCCCAAAUCAAGGUGACAAGAGGAUUGUUUUCUUCUGAGGCCUCCUCCCUUAGUUCACAGGUCUGUGGUUGUUGGAUAUUUUCCAGCUGUCAUUCUGAAAUGGAGAUGGACCAUCCAGGAAGCUCACUCCCAAAUUACCCACAAAGCAAAUAAAAUUAGAAUCAAA